RNAcentral lists this ribosomal RNA (205 nucleotides) under uncultured eukaryote. RNAcentral describes it as "partial 18S ribosomal RNA". It matches the Rfam family "Eukaryotic small subunit ribosomal RNA", at positions 1299 to 1458 of the family's 1831-position model. The record is from RNAcentral.
UGGUGGAGUGAUUUGUCUGGUUAAUUCCGUUAACGAACGAGACCGCAACCUGCUAAAUAGUGGCGGUCAGCGUCUUUACAAGUGAAUCCGGGGAUGUAAUCGGCCUUCGCAAGGGGUCCGAUUCUCGCCGGUGGAUCUUUGAUGCCUGGCUCGUUGCUUCUUAGAGGGACUAUUGGGGCUACCCAAUGGAAGUGCGGCAAUAACA